GCGGGUAUCGUAUAGUGGCAAUACAGUUGCUUCCCAAGCAACGGACGGGAGUCCGAUUCUCCCUACCCGCU
Molecule: transfer RNA, 71 nt
Filed under: Candidatus Yanofskybacteria bacterium RIFCSPLOWO2_02_FULL_47_9b
Lineage: Bacteria; Candidatus Yanofskyibacteriota
Description: tRNA-Gly
Rfam family: tRNA
About the family: Transfer RNA (tRNA) molecules are approximately 80 nucleotides in length.
Source: RNAcentral